UACAGAGACUGCAAGCGUUAUUCGGAUUCACUGGGCGUAAAGGGUGCGCAGGCGGUCGGGUGUGUCAGAUGUGAAAUCCCGAGGCUCAACCUCGGAACUGCGUCUGAAACUACUCGACUAGAGUACUGGAGAGGGUAACGGAAUUCACGGUGUAGCAGUGAAAUGCGUAGAUAUCGUGAGGAACACCAGAGGCGAAGGCGGCUUCCUGGACACCAACUGACGCUGAGACGCGAAAGCGUGGGGAGCAAACAGG
RNAcentral lists this ribosomal RNA (253 nucleotides) under uncultured bacterium. RNAcentral's name for it is "partial 16S ribosomal RNA". It matches the Rfam family "Bacterial small subunit ribosomal RNA", at positions 524 to 776 of the family's 1533-position model. The record is from RNAcentral.